AGAACGCACAUUAAUUAUCCCUAGGGCCAUAGGAUAAACAAAAACCUUGCAAAAACAAGUAAGCACACCCUAGAAUGGUUUUAGCACGAUUACUAACCUAUGGCUUUGAUACCAGUUGAAGGAAAAAACUU
Molecule: microRNA precursor, 131 nt
Filed under: Vitis vinifera (wine grape)
Lineage: Eukaryota; Viridiplantae; Streptophyta; Magnoliopsida; Vitales; Vitaceae
Description: MIR845_2 microRNA precursor family
Rfam family: MIR845_2 microRNA precursor family
Source: Rfam by way of RNAcentral